AUACAGAGGGUGCGAGCGUUAAUCGGAAUUACUGGGCGUAAAGCGCGCGUAGGCGGCUUGGUCAGUCGGAUGUGAAAGCCCCGGGCUCAACCUGGGAAUGGCAUUCGAUACUGCAAGGCUAGAGUAUGGGAGAGGGAAGUGGAAUUUCCGGUGUAGCGGUGAAAUGCGUAGAUAUCGGAAAGAACACCAGUGGCGAAGGCGACUUCCUGGCCCAAUACUGACGCUGAGGUGCGAAAGCGUGGGGAGCGAACAGGAUUAGAUACCCUAGUAGUCC
This 274-nucleotide ribosomal RNA is filed under the name uncultured bacterium. RNAcentral's name for it is "partial 16S ribosomal RNA". It matches the Rfam family "Bacterial small subunit ribosomal RNA", at positions 523 to 796 of the family's 1533-position model. The record is from RNAcentral.